This 675-nucleotide ribosomal RNA is filed under the name Triticum aestivum (bread wheat). Its description in RNAcentral is "partial small subunit ribosomal RNA". The record is from RNAcentral. Lineage: Eukaryota; Viridiplantae; Streptophyta; Magnoliopsida; Poales; Poaceae.
AUGCCGCAGCAGGACCGCCCGUCCGCUGCCGCAGGUGUUGCGCCUAUCCCCGUCAUCGACCUCGGCCGCCUUUCCAGGCCUGACACCGAUGGUGGUGCCGUCGAGGAGGCAGCGAAACUCCGGUGGGCGCUCGAGACCUGGGGCUUCUUCAUGAUUACUAACCAUGGUAUCGAGGCCUCUCUUAUGGAUGCGAUGAUGAAUGCAUCCAAGGAGUUCUUCGGGCAGCCUAUUGAAGAGAAGCAAAAAUACAACAACAUAAUUGAUGGCAAGCGUUUUCGUCUUGAAGGGUACAGAAGUGAGCUGCUGCAAUCUGAAGGCCAGACCCUCGAUUGGUCUUGCCGUUUAUCUCUGCAAGUAGAACCGGAAGAGGAGAGAAGUUUCCACCUUUGGCCCAAGUAUCCCAAAUCUUUGAGGCAAGUAAUCUGGGAUGUGCUACUUCACUACGCGUCAAGAACCAAGAUAAUAAAAGAUUGUAUCAUGCGAACCCUGGCAAAUCUUCUAGAGCUCGAUGAGGAUUUCUUCAUCAAUAGGACCACAACCAGGGCCCGAGCUUUAGCUAGGCUAGGCUACUACCCUCCAUGUCCGAGGCCUGACCUUGUUUUGGGCUUCAAGCCUCACUAUGAUGGUGGUGCCCUUUCAAUCCUUUUCCUCGAAGAGAACGUCGGUGGCUUGUAA